RNAcentral lists this long non-coding RNA (831 nucleotides) under Ricinus communis (castor bean). Its description in RNAcentral is "long non-coding RNA (RCOM_LNC000487)". The record is from RNAcentral. Lineage: Eukaryota; Viridiplantae; Streptophyta; Magnoliopsida; Malpighiales; Euphorbiaceae.
GGAACAUACAAGCUAGAAGUACCACAUGUUGAUGGGGUUGAUUGUGUAGAUGGUUCAGCAAUUGAAUCUGUUUGCCAAGCAAGUUUGAUAAGCAGCUCAACUCCAGCCUGUAAUGUUCUUGGAUCAAAGACAACAACUGAUCAAAUAUCAAUCAAAUCCAAGCAAGAUAAUCACUGUAUUUACAGCUUGAAUGCAUUGAGUUACAAGCCAGCUAAAACAAAUGCUACCUUGUGUGGAAAUCACAAUGAAGAAGAGUUGCUAAGUUCCUUCAAUUCCUCAAAAUGCUUUCUCCCUUACUUCCCACCUUUCCCUUGGCCAUAUCCUCUGCCCCAAUUUCCUCCACUGCCUCCAUUACCUUUCCCUCCUUUACCACCAUACUCAUCACUACCUUUUCCUCCAUUACCACCACUUCCAUCUUUCCCAUUUCCUCCCUUUCCAUUUCCAUACUCAUCACCACCUUCUUUGCCUUUCCCAUUCCCACCUCUUCCACCAACACCAUCUUUCUUUCAGCCACCGCCUCCGCCAGCUUUUAAUCUAGGUGAUCCAAGAACUUGGAUACCUCAUAUUCCUUCAUUAUCAUUACCUCCUCCACCUCCACCUCCACCAGCUUUUAAUCUAGGUGAUCCAAGGACUUGGAUACCUCAUAUUCCUUCAUUAUCAUCACCUCCUCCUCCACCUGCAUUUAAUCUAAGAGAUCCAAGAACCUGGAUACCGUACCUCCCUCCAUCUCCACCCAAUAGCCCUCAGAAUCAAAACCCAUAAUAGGUUUGCUCAAGUUAUUUCAAAAUUGGUGUGUUUAAUAUGUCAUUAUUUAUAAAUUACAUGAGCUUU